GCCUGGGUGGCUCAGUUGGUUAAGCAUCCGACUUCAGCUCAGGUCAUGAUCUCACGGUUCGUGGGUUCGAGCCCCACGUCGGGCU
Molecule: transfer RNA, 85 nt
Filed under: Felis catus (domestic cat)
Lineage: Eukaryota; Metazoa; Chordata; Mammalia; Carnivora; Felidae
Rfam family: tRNA
About the family: Transfer RNA (tRNA) molecules are approximately 80 nucleotides in length. Their secondary structure includes four short double-helical elements and three loops (D, anti-codon, and T loops).
Source: Rfam by way of RNAcentral